CUACCUGCAGUCGACGAGGCCACUCUUUCGGGAGUGAGUCGAGUGGCGGACGGGUGAGUAACACGUGAGCAAUCUACCCUUGUACGGGGGAUAACCCAGGGAAACUUGGGCUAAUACCGCAUGGUUAAGAGAUCCUCAGGGGUCUUUUAGAAAACGUGGCCUCUUUACAAUGCUACGGUGCAGGGAGGAGCUCGCGGGCUAUCAGCUAGUUGGUGAGGUAACGGCUCACCAAGGCAGCGACGGCUACGGGGUCUGAGAGGACGACCCCGCACAUUGGAACUGAGACACGGUCCAGACUCCUACGGGAGGCAGCAGUGGGGAAUUUUGGGCAAUGGCCGAAAGGCUGACCCAGCGACGCCGCGUGCGGGAGGAAGCCCUUCGGGGUGUAAACCGCUGUCAGGGGGGACGAAAGCGUUCUCGGUAAACAAUCGGGAGCAGUGACGGUACCCUCAAAGGAAGCACCGGCUAACUCUGUGCCAGCAGCCGCGGUAAUACAGAGGGUGCAAGCGUUGUUCGGAAUUACUGGGCGUAAAGCGCGCGCAGGCGGAUCUGGUAAGUCUGAAGUGAAAUCUCACCGCUCAACGGUGAGGCUGCUUUGGAUACUGCGGAUCUGGAGACCGGUAGAGGCUGGUGGAAUUGCAUGUGUAGCGGUGGAAUGCGUAGAGAUCUGCAAGAACACCCGUGGCGAAGGCGGCCAGCUGGGCCGGUUCUGACGCUUAANGCGCGAAAAGCUUGGGGAGCAAACAGGAUUAGAUACCCUGGGUAUUCCACGCCUUAAAACGAUUGGGCACUAGGUGCUGGGGGGGAAGCGACCCCUCUCCAGUGCCGUUAUCAUAACCCCAAAAAAUGCC
This 851-nucleotide ribosomal RNA is filed under the name uncultured bacterium. RNAcentral's name for it is "bacterial SSU rRNA". It matches the Rfam family "Bacterial small subunit ribosomal RNA", at positions 51 to 868 of the family's 1533-position model. The record is from RNAcentral.